This 166-nucleotide small nuclear RNA is filed under the name Rhinolophus ferrumequinum (greater horseshoe bat). RNAcentral describes it as "U2 spliceosomal RNA (ENSRFEG00010008384.1)". It matches the Rfam family "U2 spliceosomal RNA". Rfam says of the family: U2 is a small nuclear RNA (snRNA) component of the spliceosome (involved in pre-mRNA splicing). Complementary binding between U2 snRNA (in an area lying towards the 5' end but 3' to hairpin I) and the branchpoint sequence (BPS) of the intron results the bulging out of an unpaired adenosine, on the BPS, which initiates a nucleophilic attack at the intronic 5' splice site, thus starting the first of two transesterification reactions that mediate splicing. Lineage: Eukaryota; Metazoa; Chordata; Mammalia; Chiroptera; Rhinolophidae. The record is from Rfam by way of RNAcentral.
AUCACUUCUCGGCCUUUUGGCUAAGAUCAAGUGUAAAAAGCUACCUAUGAGAAAUGCAAUAAUGUGUCAGUGAUCUUUGGAGUGUACUUCUUCUCUAAAUAGUUUUAUAUAUGUAGAAGUAGAAUUUAUGGAACCCCACCCCCACUCCCACCCCGAAUCAACUUGC